RNAcentral lists this transfer RNA (75 nucleotides) under Candidatus Woesearchaeota archaeon. Its description in RNAcentral is "tRNA-Arg". It matches the Rfam family "tRNA". From Rfam's summary of the family: Transfer RNA (tRNA) molecules are approximately 80 nucleotides in length. Their secondary structure includes four short double-helical elements and three loops (D, anti-codon, and T loops). Lineage: Archaea; Nanobdellati; Candidatus Woesearchaeota. The record is from RNAcentral.
GGACCUGUAGCUCAGCCUGGAUAGAGCACCUGCCUUCUAAGCAGGGGGUCGUGGGUUCGAAUCCCAUCAGGUCCG